CAGCCGCCGCGGGAAUACGGAGGGGGCUAGCGUUGUUCGGAAUUACUGGGCGUAAAGCGCACGUAGGCGGCUUUGUAAGUUAGAGGUGAAAGCCUGGAGCUCAACUCCAGAAUUGCCUUUAAGACUGCAUCGCUUGAAUCGCGGAGAGGUGAGUGGAAUUCCGAGUGUAGAGGUGAAAUUCGUAGAUAUUCGGAAGAACACCAGUGGCGAAGGCGGCUCACUGGACGCGUAUUGACGCUGAGGUGCGAAAGCGUGGGGAGCAAACAGGAUUAGAUACCCCGGUAGUCCCUGUCUCUUAUAC
This 301-nucleotide ribosomal RNA is filed under the name uncultured bacterium. RNAcentral's name for it is "partial 16S ribosomal RNA". It matches the Rfam family "Bacterial small subunit ribosomal RNA", at positions 509 to 807 of the family's 1533-position model. The record is from RNAcentral.